This 253-nucleotide ribosomal RNA is filed under the name uncultured bacterium. RNAcentral describes it as "partial 16S ribosomal RNA". It matches the Rfam family "Bacterial small subunit ribosomal RNA", at positions 524 to 776 of the family's 1533-position model. The record is from RNAcentral.
UACGUAGGCAGCAAGCGUUGUUCGGAGUUACUGGGCGUAAAGGGUGUGUAGGCGGUUCUUUAAGUUUGGUGUGAAAUCUCCCGGCUCAACCGGGAGGGUGCGCCGAAUACUGAGGGACUAGAGUGCGGGAGAGGAAAGUGGAAUUCCUGGUGUAGCGGUGAAAUGCGUAGAUAUCAGGAGGAACACCGGUGGUGUAGACGGCUUUCUGGACCGUAACUGACGCCGAGACACGAAAGCGUGGGUAGCAAACAGG